Molecule: ribosomal RNA, 460 nt
Filed under: uncultured bacterium
Lineage: Bacteria
Description: partial 16S ribosomal RNA
Rfam family: Bacterial small subunit ribosomal RNA
Source: RNAcentral
CCUACGGGUGGCAGCAGUGAGGAAUAUUUGUCAAUGGACGAGAGUCUGAACCAGCCAAGUCGCGUGAAGGAUGACUGCCCUUUGGGUUGUAAACUUCUUUUAUAUGGGAAUAAAACGUUCCACGUGUGGGAUUUUGUAUGUACCCUAUGAAUAAUGAUCGGCUAACUCCGUGCCAGCAGCCGCGGUAAUACGGAGGAUCCGAGCGUUAUCCGGAUUUAUUGGGUUUAAAGGGAGCGUAGGUGGAUUGUUAAGUCAGUUGUGAAAGUUUGCGGCUCAACCGUAAAAUUGCAGUUGAAACUGGGAGUCUGGAGUACAGUAGAGGUGGGCGGAAUUCGUGGUGUAGCGGUGAAAUGCUUAGAUAUCACGAAGAACUCCGAUUGCGAAGGCAGUUCACUGGACUGCAACUGACACUGAGGCUCGAAAGUGUGGGUAUCAAACAGGAUUAGAUACCCGUGUAGUC